GCUUACGACCACACCGGCCUGAGUACGCCUGAUCUCGUCUGAUCUCGGAAGCUAAGCAGGGUCGGGCCUGGCCUGGUUAGUACUUGGAUGGGAGACUUCCUGGGAAUACCAGGUGCUGUAAGCU
Molecule: ribosomal RNA, 124 nt
Organism: Oncorhynchus tshawytscha (Chinook salmon)
Lineage: Eukaryota; Metazoa; Chordata; Actinopteri; Salmoniformes; Salmonidae
Source: Ensembl